Molecule: non-coding RNA, 28 nt
Filed under: Mus musculus (house mouse)
Lineage: Eukaryota; Metazoa; Chordata; Mammalia; Rodentia; Muridae
Source: RNAcentral
UCCUGCCAACGCCUCGGGAUACCUUACU